Passer domesticus (house sparrow) is the source of this 1611-nucleotide RNA transcript. It is a transcript of the gene named adrenoceptor beta 1, with no coding region annotated. The record is from RefSeq and is a predicted model, not a curated record. The transcript is spliced from 3 exons. NCBI's taxonomy places the organism in Eukaryota, Metazoa, Chordata, Aves, Passeriformes, Passeridae.
GUGUCGGGGCGGGCCCGUCCGGCGGCGCGGCGCGGGGCCAUGCGGCAGCCCCCGGGCGGUGGCAGCGGCGGCGGCGCCGCCUUCCUGCCCGCGGCGCGGUGCGGAGCGGCGGCCGGAGCGCCCCGCACAGCCAUGGGCGAUGGGUGGCUGCCCCCGGACUGCGGCCCCCAGAACCGCUCCGUGGCCGGGGUGACGGCCGUGCCGCCCGGGAGCCGGCAGCUGCCCGCCGCCGAGCUGUCGCAGCAGUGGGCUGUGGGCAUGAGCCUGCUGAUGGCCCUGGUGGUGCUGCUCAUCGUGGCCGGGAACGUGCUGGUGAUCGCGGCCAUCGGGAGGACGCAGCGGCUGCAGACCCUCACCAACCUGUUCAUCACCUCGCUGGCCUGCGCCGACCUGGUGAUGGGGCUGCUGGUGGUGCCCUUCGGGGCCACGCUGGUGGUGCGGGGCACCUGGCUCUGGGGGUCCUUCCUGUGCGAGUGCUGGACCUCCCUGGACGUGCUCUGCGUGACGGCCAGCAUCGAGACCCUGUGCGUCAUCGCCAUCGACCGCUACCUGGCCAUCACCUCGCCUUUCCGCUACCAGAGCCUCAUGACCAAGGGUCGGGCCAAGGGCAUCAUCUGCACCGUCUGGGCCAUCUCCGCCCUGGUCUCCUUCUUGCCCAUCAUGAUGCACUGGUGGCGGGAUGACGACCCCCAGGCGCUGGAGUGCUACCAGGAUCCGGGCUGCUGCGACUUCGUCACCAACAGGGCUUACGCCAUCGCCUCGUCCAUCAUUUCUUUCUACAUCCCCCUUCUCAUCAUGAUCUUUGUGUAUCUGCGGGUGUACAGAGAGGCCAAGGAGCAGAUGAGGAAGAUCGAUAGGUGCGAGGGCCGGUUCUACGGCAGCCAGGAGCAGCCGCAGACGCCCCUGCCCGCUCACCCUCACCACCAGCCCAUCCUCGGCAACGGCCGGGCCAGCAAGAGAAAGACCUCCCGCAUCAUGGCCAUGAAGGAGCAGAAAGCCCUCAAGACUUUGGGCAUCAUCAUGGGGGUGUUCACCCUCUGCUGGCUCCCCUUCUUCCUGGUGAACAUCGUCAACGUCUUCAACAGGGACCUGGUGCCGGACUGGCUCUUCGUUUUCUUCAACUGGCUGGGCUACGCCAACUCCGCGUUCAACCCCAUCAUCUACUGCCGCAGCCCCGACUUUCGGAAGGCCUUCAAGAGGCUGCUGUGCUGCCGCCGGAAAGCCGAGCGGUGGCUGCAGGGCGGCGGCGGGGAGCUGGCCCGGCUGCCCGGGGGCUUCAUCAGCACCGUGGGCUCCCCCGAGCGCAGCCUGGCCGGGACCUGGUCCGACUGCAACGGGGGCACGCGGGGCGGCAGCGAGUCCAGCCUGGAGGAGAGACACAGCAAAGCCUCCGACUCGGAGUCCAAGGGUCCAACUUAGGUGGGAAAUUUAUGGCCAGAACUUACUCUGCUUGCCCUGCUGAAGAGCUGUACUGGGUGAUGCAUCUCCUGGACAAGUGUAAUGGCACUGAGUUGAGGACCUGCUGGAAGAGUCUGGAGGCUGACACGUUGAGUGCCUUCGUAGAGAGCUGAAGCAAUCCCACUGGCAGCCUGCACAGGGGAUGCCAGUCCA